Molecule: long non-coding RNA, 152 nt
Organism: Amblyraja radiata (thorny skate)
Lineage: Eukaryota; Metazoa; Chordata; Chondrichthyes; Rajiformes; Rajidae
Exons: 3
Source: RefSeq, a predicted model, not a curated record
UUUUCAUAGUCAUUUAAAGGGAAAGAUGUAAUAAGAAUCUGAAGGGUACCCGUUUGCAUGCAAAGGGUGGUGGGUGUAGGGAAUGAGCUGCCGGAGGAGGUAGUUGAGGCAGGUACUAUCGCAAUGUUUAAGAAACAUUUAGACAGGUACAU